Molecule: non-coding RNA, 341 nt
Organism: Macaca mulatta (Rhesus monkey)
Lineage: Eukaryota; Metazoa; Chordata; Mammalia; Primates; Cercopithecidae
Source: Rfam
GGACGUGAGGGUGAGAUCGCUGGGACAUCUGUCUCCCCACUGAUCACUAGGGUUGCUCAGCUGAUCUGGCUGGCCAGGCAGGUAUCCCUUUCCUCCCUCACCCCUCUGUGUUCGUCCCCCCCAAAGCUGCACGCUCGGUCAAAGAGGACAACCAUCCCCAACAGAGGAGGACCAGUCUUUGGUCAAGGGUUUACGAGUAGCUGCGCUCCCCUGCUAGAACCUCCAAACAAGCGCUCAGUACCCAGAAUCUGAUCUUAUUUGAAGAGAGGGUCUUUACAGAGGUAAUCAAGUUUAAAUGAGGUCACGAGGAUGAGCCCUCAUCCAAUCUGACUAAUGUCCUU